GACAGAGGGUGCAAACGUUGUUCGGAAUUACUGGGCGUAAAGCGCGUGUAGGCGGUUCGGAAAGUCGGAUGUGAAAGCCCUGGGCUCAACCCAGGAAGUGCACUCGAAACUCCCGAACUGGAGUCCUGGAGAGGAAGGCGGAAUUCUCGGUGUAGAGGUGAAAUUCGUAGAUAUCGAGAGGAACAUCGGUGGCGAAGGCGGCCUUCUGGACAGCGACUGACGCUGAGACGCGAAAGCGUGGGGAGCAGACAGG
This 253-nucleotide ribosomal RNA is filed under the name uncultured bacterium. Its description in RNAcentral is "partial 16S ribosomal RNA". It matches the Rfam family "Bacterial small subunit ribosomal RNA", at positions 524 to 776 of the family's 1533-position model. The record is from RNAcentral.